AUCACUCCCUAGAUUGUCGAAUUGGUUGGAUCUUUUGAUUCUCUUCUCAAGUGAAUCAAAUAGAUCUAUAGAAGGAUGAUGAAAUCAGAUCAUAUUUAAUUUUUUUUCACUUUUCUCUUCUCAAAAAAAAAAAUCUAAGAUCUACUAAAGAAGAUAAGUGAUCUAAUCUCUUUCUUCUUUUUCUGUCCAACCGUUGGAUUAGAUCUAGAAAAGGUAGAGAACAGUCCAUCUCAUAGAGUAAAAAAAUUAAAUUAGAUCAAAUCUGAUUUAAUCAUGUCCAACUUUUGGAUAUCUUUGGGAGAGAGGAAGAGAGAGACAUGUCCAACUCUUAGACAAG
RNAcentral lists this long non-coding RNA (337 nucleotides) under Elaeis guineensis (African oil palm). RNAcentral describes it as "long non-coding RNA (EGUI_LNC001880)". The record is from RNAcentral. Lineage: Eukaryota; Viridiplantae; Streptophyta; Magnoliopsida; Arecales; Arecaceae.